Molecule: long non-coding RNA, 1101 nt
Organism: Phacochoerus africanus (Common warthog)
Lineage: Eukaryota; Metazoa; Chordata; Mammalia; Artiodactyla; Suidae
Exons: 2
Source: RefSeq, a predicted model, not a curated record
GAGGCAGCUGGUAACCAAAGGCGCUCGGCUUCCCGACCAGGGAGUGCGGCCUGGGCCUGGCUGGGUGGGCGGCUCCUGGGUUAUCAACUCAAGGGCUGCAAGGCUUUGGCCUUGGAGCCGGUUCGGCUGCUUGGCUCCAGGCCCUGGUGGCCCUCGCUUGCCAGUUGACCUUGCCCCCACGAAAACAGGGAAAAUUCUCAGAGAGAAAGCGGGAACCCGCUGGCCCACGGCGGUUUGGGGGAGUCGCGCAUCAACCGGGAAACCAGGACAACAGACGUGCCAAAAUCCGACCCAGGGAAGUGCCCUUUACAGGGCGAAUGAGCCGGGGGCAUUUUUGAGAGGAGACGAGGGACCCGUCUAUGUUUUAGUUAUGAUUUUUAAUACAGGGAAGCGAGAAAUAAGGCACAAGGAAACGGAAUCUGCAGAAUAACUUGUCUUUCCGGUCGCCCCGCAUUUUCCCCUGGACCGAACCUCGGGUUUUGACUUUGCGAAGGGCUGGAGCCUGGCCGGGAAAGGACCUGAGCUCCGGCCGCCCUGGCGUGGAGGAGUGAGAAGGCUGGAUCUCGCUUCUAGGGAGGCCCAAGCCGAGGCUGCUAGAAGGCGACUUCGGCGAGAAAUCUGCCGAAUUCUCUCAUCCAGAGGGCGAGAGAGAAGGCGCGGGGGGGUCCCUGAACCCCGGGAAAACUGGAAGAGAAAGGUGUAACGUGUGCCUCGCGCGGCCCGGGCAGCCAGGGGAGAUUUGAAGUGGUUUCGUGUUUUCCUUUGCAGGGGUCGCCAUGGGCUCGGCAUGGGGCUUGGCCUGGACAAGGUUAGGCUGUUUAGGCCCCAGAUGAGACUUGGGACGGCCUGGGCGGCAGUCAAUCCAGGAGCCAUUUGUCCCACCGCCCACCCCUCGGGAAACGCGGAGACUUUAUGGCCACUCUGUUUGUAUUAUCUGCAUAAGUCUUUCCCUACCAGUUUGAUCGAAACUGUUCGCUUUUACGAGGACCCAACGAAAAUUCCCCGUCAUAUUUAUCAGCCGGGGAUAAAAAUUUAGUAUGGGAACUGAUAUUUCCUCAUUUAUGGGGCGAUGAAAUUAAAGACCAAAGCAAUUGAGAAUUA